UCAAUAAAUUUGGAUUGCCGUGC
This 23-nucleotide non-coding RNA is filed under the name Cricetulus griseus (Chinese hamster). The record is from RNAcentral. Lineage: Eukaryota; Metazoa; Chordata; Mammalia; Rodentia; Cricetidae.